Molecule: long non-coding RNA, 1009 nt
Organism: Pavo cristatus (Indian peafowl)
Lineage: Eukaryota; Metazoa; Chordata; Aves; Galliformes; Phasianidae
Source: Ensembl
CAGCUGUGUGCCAACUUUCUUUCGCCUCCUGUGUACCUGGCCUAAUUAACUCCAUUCUUCACUCUUCAGUCAUCUCCACAUGUGGCAAUUUGGUCUUAAUGGGCUAUAGAAUGGGUGGCACGGGUCCAUUUGAAAAUGCCUUGUGCUGUAGAGCAGCUUGCAUGGUCCUGCAUAGGGGUCUCUGACAGCGUAGUAGGUGGCAGUGCUAUCUAAAAGGAAAUGCAUCUAGCUGGGCAUGCAUUUUGCUGAGUCAAGAAGGACGUAAGUGACUCACUGGGCUGUGUGGGAACCAGGACCAGAAUCCAAUUGGUGCACUAACCAGACAACCACGUCAGCCCAGAGAAACGCCUCAAUUCCAAAUGAGCCACCAGGAGCAGCUGCUGCCUAAUGGCACUUCAGCUUACCUCUAGUUCUCCUGGUCUGUUCUCUGACAUCCUGGAAGAGGUUGGUCUUCAUCUAGAACCAGAACCUCUAAUUCAAUCUCAUUUGAAGAGGAGGAAGCAAUGCAGGUGGCAACUGUCCUGAGAAAAUGGAUUGUAGACAGAGAUGUGCAGAUGUUAUUGUCCUGUUUCCUUGCAGCAGGCAAGUUACUUUUACAUGUUCUUAUUCUUUUCCCUUUAUUGAAGCUGUUAAAUACUAGGUUAUCAUAUUCUCCUGGUACAAAACUACAGGAUUGGAUUGUGUAAUAUUUGGCUUCAAUUAAGUCACUUAAUUUCUGUUUCUUCAUUUCCUAUCUGAAGAGAGAGAUGGCUUUAUUUUCUCUCUUCUCAUUUCAAGCUUAUUUGGGAUUCUUUUAGUGUUUGUAGGGGGAAUAGCUGUAGUUAUAACAGCUUAUGUAGUUAUAUACCCUUGUACCUAAAAGUCCAUGCUUACAAAUAACAGUAACACUGCUGUACUCUGUAGCCAUUUCUUCUGAGCAGGAAAGCCAACACAAGAAAGUGGGACUUUGCUUGAGUGAGGUGAGGCCAUGGAGUAAGUAGAGUCGUCGUCCAAGUCUGACACAUUCAGU